Molecule: ribosomal RNA, 479 nt
Filed under: uncultured bacterium
Lineage: Bacteria
Description: partial 16S ribosomal RNA
Rfam family: Bacterial small subunit ribosomal RNA
Source: RNAcentral
GACGAACGCUGGCGGCGUGCUUAACACAUGCAAGUCGAACGAAGCUUGAUUACGGAUUCUUCGGAUGAAGUAUGAUAUGACUGAGUGGCGGACGGGUGAGUAACGCGUGAGUAACCUGCCCUUCAGAGGGGGAUAGCGUUUGGAAACGAACGGUAAUACCGCAUAAUGUAUUUUGACCGCAUGAUCGAAAUACCAAAGAUUUAUCGCUGAAGGAUGGACUCGCGUCUGAUUAGGUAGUUGGUGGGGUAACGGCCUACCAAGCCGACGAUCAGUAGCCGGACGGAGAGGUUGAGCGGCCACAUUGGGACUGAGACACGGCCCAGACGCCUACGGGAGGCAGCAGUGGGGAAUAUUGCACAAUGGGCGCAAGCCUGAUGCAGCAACGCCGCGUGAAGGAAGACGGUUUUCGGAUUGUAAACUUCUGUUCUUAGUGAAGAAUAAUGACGGUAGCUAAGGAGAAAGCCACGGCUAACUACGUG